GAUGAACGCUAGCGGGAGGCUUAACACAUGCAAGUCGAGGGGCAGCACUAUGUAGCAAUACGUUGGUGGCGACCGGCGCACGGGUGAGUAACACGUAUGCAACCUACCCUGUACAGGGGGAUAACCCGGAGAAAUUCGGACUAAUAUCCCAUAGAAAUAUCGGAAGGCAUCUUUUGAUAUUUAAAGUUCCGGCGGUACGGGAUGGGCAUGCGUAACAUUAGCUAGUUGGUAAGGUAACGGCUUACCAAGGCUUUGAUGUUUAGGGGUCCUGAGAGGGUGAUCCCCCACACUGGUACUGAGACACGGACCAGACUCCUACGGGAGGCUG
RNAcentral lists this ribosomal RNA (328 nucleotides) under uncultured Bacteroidota bacterium. RNAcentral describes it as "bacterial SSU rRNA". It matches the Rfam family "Bacterial small subunit ribosomal RNA", at positions 28 to 351 of the family's 1533-position model. The record is from RNAcentral. Lineage: Bacteria; Pseudomonadati; Bacteroidota.